CUUGCUCCUGGUGGCGAGUGGCGAACGGGUGAGUAAUAUAUCGGAACGUGCCCUAGAGUGGGGGAUAACUAGUCGAAAGAUUAGCUAAUACCGCAUACGAUCUACGGAUGAAAGUGGGGGAUCGCAAGACCUCAUGCUCAUGGAGCGGCCGAUAUCUGAUUAGCUAGUUGGUGGGGUAAAAGCUCACCAAGGCGACGAUCAGUAGCUGGUCUGAGAGGACGACCAGCCACACUGGAACUGAGACACGGUCCAGACUCCUACGGGAGGCAGCAGUGGGGAAUUUUGGACAAUGGGCGCAAGCCUGAUCCAGCAAUGCCGCGUGAGUGAAGAAGGCCUUCGGGUUGUAAAGCUCUUUUGUCAGGGAAGAAACGGUCUUGGUUAAUACCUGGGGCUAAUGACGGUACCUGAAGAAUAAGCACCGGCUAACUACGUGCCAGCAGCCGCGGUAAUACGUAGGGUGCAAGCGUUAAUCGGAAUUACUGGGCGUAAAGCGUGCGCAGGCGGUUAUACAAGACAGAUGUGAAAUCCCCGGGCUCAACCUGGGAAUUGCAUUUGUGACUGUAUGGCUAGAGUGUGUCAGAGGGGGGUAGAAUUCCACGUGUAGCAGUGAAAUGCGUAGAUAUGUGGAGGAAUACCGAUGGCGAAGGCAGCCCCCUGGGAUAACACUGACGCUCAUGCACGAAAGCGUGGGGAGCAAACAGGAUUAGAUACCCUGGUAGUCCACGCCCUAAACGAUGUCUACUAGUUGUCGGGUCUUAAUUGACUUGGUAACGCAGCUAACGCGUGAAGUAGACCGCCUGGGGAGUACGGUCGCAAGAUUAAAACUCAAAGGAAUUGACGGGGACCCGCACAAGCGGUGGAUGAUGUGGAUUAAUUCGAUGCAACGCGAAAAACCUUACCUACCCUUGACAUGUACGGAAUCCUGAAGAGAUUUAGGAGUGCUCGAAAGAGAACCGUAACACAGGUGCUGCAUGGCUGUCGUCAGCUCGUGUCGUGAGAUGUUGGGUUAAGUCCCGCAACGAGCGCAACCCUUGUCAUUAGUUGCUACGAAAGGGCACUCUAAUGAGACUGCCGGUGACAAACCGGAGGAAGGUGGGGAUGACGUCAAGUCCUCAUGGCCCUUAUGGGUAGGGCUUCACACGUCAUACAAUGGUACAUACAGAGGGCCGCCAACCCGCGAGGGGGAGCUAAUCCCAGAAAGUGUAUCGUAGUCCGGAUUGGAGUCUGCAACUCGACUCCAUGAAGUUGGAAUCGCUAGUAAUCGCGGAUCAGCAUGUCGCGGUGAAUACGUUCCCGGGUCUUGUACACACCGCCCGUCACACCAUGGGAGCGGGUUCUGCCAGAAGUAGUUAGCCUAACCGUAAGGAG
RNAcentral lists this ribosomal RNA (1368 nucleotides) under Herbaspirillum sp. i130s. RNAcentral describes it as "bacterial SSU rRNA". It matches the Rfam family "Bacterial small subunit ribosomal RNA", at positions 79 to 1448 of the family's 1533-position model. Lineage: Bacteria; Pseudomonadati; Pseudomonadota; Betaproteobacteria; Burkholderiales; Oxalobacteraceae. The record is from RNAcentral.